CCAACUCAUGGAGCAAUUCAUUAUUCUUAGGUUUGUUCGAGUUGGCGAGCGUCAGUGAAGGUGACUCACACAAGCCUGGACUAUCCAUAAGUUGGGAACUAGGCAAAAAACAAUUCCUUAAUUUUAUCUUGUGCAAUUCACUGUGCUUUUUCUUAUCAAUAGCAACAAUUGUGGUUGUAGCAUUGACUGAAAUCUUCCUGUGGGACUGGCAAUCUACUUCACUUCUUUUGUUGCCUAUGAUGUGCAUUCUCUUGCUAAUUGCUGCAGCAGAGUUUGUAUUUGGGGUGGCUAUAGUUACCGAUACAAGCGUUGCAAAUGUAUUUCCACUUCGAGCUUUGAUUUUGGUUGUAAUCCUACUGAACAUAACAUGGCAGCUUGCUUGGACCUACCAAUAUCUCCGGAAAAGGUUACAGAGAUUACGCCGCAACGAAGAGGGGAGAGGAGCAUGAACGAAUUGAAUCAGAAAAGCAAUGCUAAUGAUGUCCUGCAUGACGAGAUCUGAUUGAAUGUUAAUGUUCAGGAUUAAGAACUUGAUUUUCUUGUAACACCAAUUUGAUUUUGAAUGACAAGCUACUUUACAUGUCUGAGGCAUGUCUUGUUUUGCUUUGAAAAAGAAACGAAAGCAUGGAAGACUAGUUUGGUUUU
Molecule: long non-coding RNA, 645 nt
Organism: Populus euphratica (Euphrates poplar)
Lineage: Eukaryota; Viridiplantae; Streptophyta; Magnoliopsida; Malpighiales; Salicaceae
Exons: 2
Source: RefSeq, a predicted model, not a curated record